This 429-nucleotide ribosomal RNA is filed under the name Bacteroidota bacterium. RNAcentral describes it as "Bacteroidetes bacterium partial 16S ribosomal RNA". It matches the Rfam family "Bacterial small subunit ribosomal RNA", at positions 355 to 776 of the family's 1533-position model. Lineage: Bacteria; Pseudomonadati; Bacteroidota. The record is from RNAcentral.
UAGGGAAUCUUCCGCAAUGGACGCAAGUCUGACGGAGCAACGCCGCGUGAGUGAAGAAGGAUUUCGGUUCGUAAAACUCUGUUGUUAGAGAAGAACAGCGCAUAGAGUAACUGUUAUGCGUGUGACGGUAUCUAACCAGAGAGCCACGGCUAACUACGUGCCAGCAGCCGCGGUAAUACGUAGGUGGCAAGCGUUGUCCGGAUUUAUUGGGCGUAAAGCGAGCGCAGGCGGUCAAUUAAGUCUGAUGUGAAAGCCCCCGGCUCAACCGGGGAGGGUCAUUGGAAACUGGUUGACUUGAGUGCAGAAGAGGAGAGUGGAAUUCCAUGUGUAGCGGUGAAAUGCGUAGAUAUAUGGAGGAACACCAGUGGCGAAGGCGACUCUCUGGUCUGUAACUGACGCUGAGGCUCGAAAGCGUGGGGAGCGAACAGG